This 274-nucleotide ribosomal RNA is filed under the name uncultured bacterium. Its description in RNAcentral is "partial 16S ribosomal RNA". It matches the Rfam family "Bacterial small subunit ribosomal RNA", at positions 523 to 796 of the family's 1533-position model. The record is from RNAcentral.
AGACGGGGGGGGCGAGCGUUGUUCGGAUUUACUGGGCGUAAAGCGCGCGUAGGCGGGCUGGUUAGUUGGGGGUGAAAUCCCAGGGCUUAACCCUGGAACUGCCCUCAAUACUGCCAGUCUUGAGUUCGAGAGAGGUAAGUGGAAUUCCUAGUGUAGAGGUGAAAUUCGUAGAUAUUAGGAAGAACACCAGUGGCGAAGGCGGCUUACUGGCUCGAUACUGACGCUGAGGCGCGAAAGCGUGGGGAGCAAACAGGAUUAGAAACCCGAGUAGUCC